This 433-nucleotide ribosomal RNA is filed under the name uncultured bacterium. RNAcentral's name for it is "partial 16S ribosomal RNA". It matches the Rfam family "Bacterial small subunit ribosomal RNA", at positions 29 to 507 of the family's 1533-position model. The record is from RNAcentral.
AACGAACGCUGGCGGCAUGCCUAACACAUGCAAGUCGAACGAAGGCUUCGGCCUUAGUGGCGCACGGGUGCGUAACGCGUGGGAAUCUGCCCUUUGCUUCGGAAUAACAGUUAGAAAUGACUGCUAAUACCGGAUGAUGUCGCAAGACCAAAGAUUUAUCGGCAAAGGAUGAGCCCGCGUAGGAUUAGCUAGCUGGUGGGGUAAAGGCCUACCAAGGCGACGAUCCUUAGCUGGUCUGAGAGGAUGAUCAGCCACACUGGGACUGAGACACGGCCCAGACUCCUACGGGAGGCAGCAGUGGGGAAUAUUGGACAAUGGGCGAAAGCCUGAUCCAGCAAUGCCGCGUGAGUGAUGAAGGCCUUAGGGUUGUAAAGCUCUUUUACCCGGGAUGAUAAUGACAGUACCGGGAGAAUAAGCUCCGGCUAACUCCGUG